Molecule: ribosomal RNA, 484 nt
Filed under: uncultured bacterium
Lineage: Bacteria
Description: partial 16S ribosomal RNA
Rfam family: Bacterial small subunit ribosomal RNA
Source: RNAcentral
AUUGAACGCUGGCGGCAGGCCUAACACAUGCAAGUCGAGCGGAUGAAGGGAGCUUGCUCCUGGAUUCAGCGGCGGACGGGUGAGUAAUGCCUAGGAAUCUGCCUGGUAGUGGGGGAUAACGUCCGGAAACGGGCGCUAAUACCGCAUACGUCCUGCGGGAGAAAGUGGGGGAUCUUCGGACCUCACGCUAUCAGAUGAGCCUAGGUCGGAUUAGCUAGUUGGUGGGGUAAAGGCCUACCAAGGCGACGAUCCGUAACUGGUCUGAGAGGAUGAUCAGUCACACUGGAACUGAGACACGGUCCAGACUCCUACGGGAGGCAGCAGUGGGGAAUAUUGGACAAUGGGCGAAAGCCUGAUCCAGCCAUGCCGCGUGUGUGAAGAAGGUCUUCGGAUUGUAAAGCACUUUAAGUUGGGAGGAAGGGCAUUAAGUUAAUACCUUGAUGUUUUGACGUUACCAACAGAAUAAGCACCGGCUAACUUCGUG